Uranotaenia lowii is the source of this 415-nucleotide long non-coding RNA. RefSeq lists it as uncharacterized. The record is from RefSeq and is a predicted model, not a curated record. NCBI's taxonomy places the organism in Eukaryota, Metazoa, Arthropoda, Insecta, Diptera, Culicidae. The transcript is spliced from 3 exons.
GCAGCAUCUUGUUAAGAAGAGUAUCAAUUGGAUAUUGUUUCAAUCAUCAUGAAGUUAAUCGGUGCUUUUUUGUUGUUUGUGGUUCUUGUGCUGACUGUAGAAGAAGCACAUUCUGCUGCUGCUACAAUGGCCUUAACUUGCGCUGAAUGCACGAGACAGGGAGCAACGAGUUGUGUGACACUCACAGGAUCAAACAGAGGAUAUAUUGGAUGCAAUGGAGUGACUAAAAUAACUGAUUGCACUACUUGUGGAAAGUUUGCACUUCCCUACGCUUCAAACUGCAUUGUGACGAAUCCAAUAAUUUGUAGAAUUAUGCAUUGAUAUUCCAUUGGAUUCGAGAAUCUCGGGAGAAACAAUUGGGAAACCUCUAGGAUUCGAAAAAUAACUAACAAUUUUUUGCAAAUAACAUAAAAUA